GCAUCCACCUGGUGUCAGGUGUUGUAACAGUUCGUUUGGAUACAUGUCCGGAAUAAAGACAAGUGCCAGAAAUAUUCAAACACACAAAAUAUCUUUUAUUACAGUGAGAAUAAUAAUAAU
This is a long non-coding RNA of Chiroxiphia lanceolata (lance-tailed manakin), 120 nucleotides long. RefSeq lists it as uncharacterized. Lineage: Eukaryota; Metazoa; Chordata; Aves; Passeriformes; Pipridae. The transcript is spliced from 3 exons. The record is from RefSeq and is a predicted model, not a curated record.